This 5014-nucleotide long non-coding RNA is filed under the name Anas zonorhyncha (Eastern spot-billed duck). Its description in RNAcentral is "lncRNA (ENSAZOG00000001157.1)". Lineage: Eukaryota; Metazoa; Chordata; Aves; Anseriformes; Anatidae. The record is from RNAcentral.
AUGGACCACCCACCCACCCACAAACGCAGAGGUUCUCCUUGUCAGAUCCGCCUGUACCUCACAGCUUCAUUGCUUGCUGAUUCCCAGCUCCAGGCAGACAGGAUGCAGGUUCACAGAUGGACACCUCGGUGCUUUUUUCCAUUAGUGCCUCCAGGACACAGUAUGAUCCUUCCUGCCCCUGGACAUCUCCUGCUACAGACCCAGAGGGAAACCAGGUUCCACGCUGGCAAAGCUUCUGAACGGGCAGUGGAAACCCAGCAGGAUGAGGGGCACCCUUGGGCACUGACACAGCUUUUGUUGAUUGGGUUGGACUCAGGAGGAAAGCAGUUGUAUUUCAGUGCACGGCCGAAGCAUGGUGAGCCCUCAGGACGCCCCACUGGUGUGGAUACUUUGUCUGUAAAAUUGGUAAUGGUAGGCAAUCCCCCCAGGUUCUCCUCAGCUGCCCUAAGCAUGGGCAUCUUGUCGGAGCAGCCCAGCUUCCUACAGAAAAACUACAAGAAUACCACUUUAAGAAUAAAACAUUUUAAAGGAUCUUUAGGGCAAAAUUCUCCAGAUGCACAAAACAGCAAAUGACUGCCUUUGAUAGAAGUAUGCAGUGCAAAGCUCUGGCCCUUCAGGUGUCUCUAAGAGCUCACAUCAGGCACAGUCAAUCCUUGGGGCUCUGUAGGAGGUCAGCUGCAAGUCCACCUUCCCGUGAACAAAACCCCAGAGGUUGAGGGAAAGCUUCGCAGCAGAUUGGCCAAAGUGCCCACUGUUUACUUUGCUGAAAAUAAGCUGAAAUCGCACAUUAAAACACCUAGGAACUUCAGAAGAUGAGUCUGUCCACGCUGGAUUUAACUUGAAAUGUGCAAUGAAGAAAAGACCAAGUGCAAGAGCUCAAAUCUUUCUUCCUAGUCUCUAUUUAGCUACACCAAUAAGCUACACGUUUUUAAGACUGUUUUUAUUAGUUCUACCCUAAUUUUGCUGCUUUUUUUUAACAUAGAAGUGGUGUAAAAACCUUAUGAAAACACAAUGCUGAAGAACUGCUGCUUAAAAACGGAUUGCUCACUGUUUUUCUUUAUUGAUGACAGAGCAGAAAAAAGCAUGGAGAGCACUACUAAACUAAAUUGCUGGUUGUAAAUAUGUCUACUUACACUGAGUGAAAGUGCAAAGGACUCUUCAAUUUUUAUAGUAAAAAAAAUAAAAUCACUAAUUCUUUAUCUUCUUUGCAUUGAAUUCUAAAGUGAGUAUAAUAAUUUUUAACAAGAACAUAUUUUCAUAAUGAAUUCAGAUACAUAUUGCUCAGAAAUAUACUGAGAUUUUUAUACAGGUAGAUAAGUAUUUUUCAGCAGUAGAAGAAUGACGAUUAUUCAACACUGGUUCUGCAGCUGGGACAGGUGCCUGGCUGGUGGCCAAACACCCUGUGACAACCUCCCUUCUUGCUGCUAGCACAGGAGUUUAUCUCCUUGUCAGUGCCCUCAGCUCCUAAUGUAAAGCACCUGCUGGGAAGAGAAAAGAAUGUAACAGAAAGAGCCAAUACAGAGCCAACAGACUUUGCCAAUACAGAACCGCUUUUGGUGCCCGCAUUUUAUGUCCCAGGUCUCUCACACUCCUGCUUCAGUGGGAAUUACAUCUUUCAGCAUUUUGCUUAUUUUGAAUUCUUUUCUUUUCCGCUCUGCAGUACUAUGAGCAAUUGCCAUCUGCUUUCAGGCUUCCUUCAGUUUAGCACGUAAUUCAAGGCUUUAUUGGCCAACGGUUAGCAACACCCAGGUCAUCUCUUUUUAGCUGGGAAUGAGGGCAGGGGCUUCCUCCCCUGUUUCUCCCUGCCUUUGAAAAGGGAAAAGCUGUGUGAUGUCAGGCUGAUUGCCUCCUCCCUUGGAAAAAGCCAGGGGCUGAGUGGACACACGAAAGGGCAAUUGCUGUCUUGGCCUUUUCUACUACCUCAAACAUCACCAAAAACAAAACAAAACAAACAAAAAAAAAAAAUCAAGGGAAAAAUGUACUCUCAGGCUCCCCAAUCCCAUAAACAUGUCCUCAGCCCUGAAAAGGUUAAAGUGGAGGAGGGAAAGGCCACAGGGUGGUGACCUGCCUGCUGACAGUGCCGACCUCCACCUGGAGCAGCCGGGCUGUGCCUGCACCUCCAGCACCAGCACCCCCAGGCAGGAAUGUGGGACCCAGGCCAGCCUGCAGGUAGUUUUCCAGCUCUUCUCAUCUAUCUUUGUAANNNNNNNNNNAUAAAAUUCUGCCUGUUUGUGUUUUGAAGACAAUUCCUGCUUGUCGAAGUGCCCGGUUUCUGGGCUUCUCAGGUCACUAGCUGCUUGCUUGGUUGCGUAGCAACUUUUGUCUCUGCCUGCAGGCGCCGAAGGCCACAUGUUGCAUGAAAUAAUUGAAGGGUUUCUUGCUUCAGAAGAACUGAAAUCCAAGCUGUCCGUUUUGCACUUUGUUCCCUGCACUGUUCUCUGAUCCCAACCUCCCACCUGGACAAAAAGGGAUAUUUUUAGCACUGAAAUCACAGGUCUAUAAUUUGUUUCCCCCCCCCUUCACAGGACACAGUAUGAUCCUUCCUGCCCCUGGACAUCUCCUGCUACAGACCCAGAGGGAAACCAGGUUCCACGCUGGCAAAGCUUCUGAACGGGCAGUGGAAACCCAGCAGGAUGAGGGGCACCCUUGGGCACUGACACAGCUUUUGUUGAUUGGGUUGGAUUCAGGAGGAAAGCAGUUGUAUUUCAGUGUACGGCCGAAGUGUGGUGAGCCCUCAGGAUGCCCCACUGGUGUGGAUACUUUGUCUGUAAAAUUGGUAAUGGUAGGCAAUCCCCCCAGGUUCUCCUAAGCUGCCCUAAGCAUGGCCAUCUUGUCGGAGCAGCCCAGCUUCCUAUAGAAAAACUACAAGAAUAUCACUUUAAGAAUAAAACAUUUUAAAGGAUCUUUAGGGCAAAAUUCUCCAGAUGCACAAAACAGCAAAUGACUGCCUUUGAUAGAAGUAUGCAGUGCAAAGCUCUGGCCCUUCAGGUGUCUCUAAGAGCUCACAUCAGGCACAGUCAAUCCUCAGGGCUCUGUAUCAGGUCAGCUGCAAGUCCACCUUCCCGUGCUGUGGACAUGAGCAGCAAACAAAACCCCAGAGGUUGAGGGAAAGCUUCGCAGCAGAUUGGCCAAAGUGCCCACUGUUUACUUUGCUGAAAAUAAGCUGAAAUCGCACAUUAAAACACCUAGGAACUUCAGAAGAUGAGUCUGUCCACGCUGGAUUUAACUUGAAAUGUGCAAUGAAGAAAAGACCAAGUGCAAGAGCUCAAAUCUUUCUUCCUAGUCUCUAGCUACACCAAUAAGCUACACAUUUUUAAGACUGUUUUUAUUAGUUCUACCCUAAUUUUGCUGCUUUUUUUUUAACAUAGAAGUGGUGUAAAAACCUUAUAAAAACACAAUGCUCAAGAACUGCUGCUUAAAAAUUGAUUGCUCACUGUUUUUCUUUAUUGAUGACAGAGCAGAAAAAAGCAUGGAGAGCACUACUAAACUAAAUUGCUGGUUGUAAAUAUGUCUACUUACACUGAGUGAAAGUGCAAAGGACUCUUAGAUUUUUAUAGUAAAAAAAAAAAUAAAUCACUAAUUCUUUAUCUUCUUUGCAUUGAAUUCUAAAGUGAGUAUAAUAAUUUUUAACAAGAACAUUUUAUCAUAAUGAAUUCAGAUACAUAUUGCUCAGAAAUAUACUGAGAUUUUUAUACAGGUAGAUAAGUAUUUUUCAGCAGUAGAAGAAUGACGAUUAUUCAACACUGGUUCUGCAGCUGGGACAGGUGCCUGGCUGGUGGCCAAACACCCUGUGACAACCUCCCUUCUUGCUGCUAGCACAGGAGUUUAUCUCCUUGUCAGUGCCCUCAGCUCCUAAUGUAAAGCACCUGCUGGGAAGAGAAAAGAAUGUAACAGAAAGAGCCAAUACAGAGCCAACAGACUUUGCCAAUACAGAACCGCUUUUGGUGCCCGCAUUUUAUGUCCCAGGUCUCUCACACUCCUGCUUCAGUGGGAAUUACAUCUUUCAGCAUUUUGCUUAUUUUGAAUUCUUUUCUUUUCCGCUCUGCAGUACUAUGAGCAAUUGCCAUCUGCUUUCAGGCUUCCUUCAGUUUAGCACGUAAUUCAAGGCUUUAUUGGCCAACGGUUAGCAACACCCAGGUCAUCUCUUUUUAGCUGGGAAUGAGGGCAGGGGCUUCCUCCCCUGUUUCUCCCUGCCUUUGAAAAGGGAAAAGCUGUGUGAUGUCAGGCUGAUUGCCUCCUCCCUUGGAAAAAGCCAGGGGCUGAGUGGACACACGAAAGGGCAAUUGCUGUCUUGGCCUUUUCUACUACCUCAAACAUCACCAAAAACAAAACAAAACAAACAAAAAAAAAAAAUCAAGGGAAAAAUGUAAUCUCAGGCUCCCCAAUCCCAUAAACAUGUCCUCAGCCCUGAAAAGGUUAAAGUGGAGGAGGGAAAGGCCACAGGGUGGUGACCUGCCUGCUGACAGUGCCGACCUCCACCUGGAGCAGCCAGGCUGUGCCUGCACCUCCAGCACCAGCACCCCCGGGCAGGAAUGUGGGACCCAGGCCAGCCUGCAGGUAGUUUCCCAGCUCUUCUCAUCUAUCUUUGUAAGUAAUAGCCGGAGACCAAGGAAUAUAUUUGUGUAGCCUAUCAGUAAUAUGCAAUUUUUAUGUUUGUGGGUGAAGAUAAAUAUUUGUGCUAAUUAGUAAGUAUUGAUUUUAGAGGGAAUUAGGUAACUAAACAUUUUUUUAAAUCAUCCUUCAGCUGCAGGGUGUAGCAAUCCCAUGUGCAGAAUAUUUAGCAGUGCAAAAAUGGCCGGUUCCUGAUCACCCUGAGGACACAGAGGCGAUUAAAAUUAUCUCAGAAACAGUUUGUUUUGUUAAAAGCCAACAUGCUCCAGAAGAUUCAUUCCACCCACAUCCUUCCCAGCUGUCAAACACCCCCCGAGCACACACAGACACCCGCUGUGGGCAGGAGGCUGGCUGGAGUGUCUUGGGAGCUGGCAUUUAGAUGAAGCAGUUGUAAAAUUCUCCG